This 832-nucleotide long non-coding RNA is filed under the name Homo sapiens (human). RNAcentral's name for it is "novel transcript". The record is from RNAcentral. Lineage: Eukaryota; Metazoa; Chordata; Mammalia; Primates; Hominidae.
GGCCUGAUGGAGAGGCGGCUGCCCACCUUGAGCCAGAGCAGAUGCGGGAGCUGCGGUGUGAGAACGUCGCCACCUGCCUGGGCAUUUUCGUGAUCUCUGGGGAACCUGCUUCGGAAAGAGGUCCUGCACCUAGACUGGACCUUCAAGGCCUCCCUGCUGCUGGAUUUGAUCUGCAUGAGAUCCCUCCCUGGGCCUGGCACUGCAGGGAAGUGGGGAUGGCAGGGAGACAGGAGAUGCUCAGAUUUCCCACAGCUGGGCUCUUUCAGCUUUGUCUAAUCCAGGGAUAUCCAAACUGCAUGGCCACGGGUACAGGGAGGCAGGAAGGCUUUCUGGGGCUUGUGGGAAUUCCGAGAGAACCAGGUUUCCUCUCAUUCGUUACAGAUCCAAUGGACCCCCAUUAUGUCCAUCUCAGGGCAUGAGGUAUCUGCACCACCACCAUUUCCCUCCUGGCUGCCUCAAGUUCCAAAACUGUGUGGUGGACAGAUGCUUUGUGCUCAAGGUCACUGACCAUGGUUAUGCAGAGCCCCUGGACACUUAGCAGGAUCCCCAACCCUGGCCAGCCCCAGAAGGUCAGCUCAGGGAUAGGCAGGGGGCUGCCAGUAGGUUUGGGGGCCUCUGUUUAACCAGGUGCUUGUAAGGUGCAGGGAGAGGGAGAUCUCCAGUCCUCUGGUAUUGGUGACCUUGAGUUGAUCGCUUCUCCUCUCUGAACAAGCUGUAGGCUCUUUACCUGUGAAUUGGGGAGAAUACAUGCACCCAGCCUGGCUUGGGUGGUCAGCAGGUAAUGGUGGCAUGGCCCUGCCCUAUGAUUGCAGAGCUGCUAUGGACAGCUCCU